RNAcentral lists this long non-coding RNA (1040 nucleotides) under Cyanistes caeruleus (blue tit). Its description in RNAcentral is "lncRNA (ENSCCEG00000023374.1)". Lineage: Eukaryota; Metazoa; Chordata; Aves; Passeriformes; Paridae. The record is from RNAcentral.
GGUUGGGAUGGGCACAGCCUGGGGCUUUUCCCUAUGCCUGGAGUGAGGUGGGGAUUUCACUGCAGCAUAGGAGCUGUUCUCAGUAUGGGGCUCUCUUCAGUUUUGGGUAGGAUCCUUUCUACAGAAUGGAGCUGAAGAAAACUAUUAGUUAAAUCUCAUUAAUGCUAUAAAUUGUCUGAAGGAGAUAAUAUGCCUCUGAAAAAUGCUCUUGGGUAGAAAACCCCAGAAGGAGACAACAUGGUGUGGUAGCAUGUGCAACAGCCAUGUUCCAGCAGAGAUCUAUCACCAGUGCCUUGGUUUCUCCCGCUACUAAAGGACAGGCAGCUCGUUGCUCUGGCGCUGCAGUGGAGCUGGAAAAGGCAGGGAGGGGAUACGGGAGCACAGCUCUGUCCUUGCCACGGCUGGAGGCUCCCUGACCAUCGCUCUCUUCAGCCAGCACAGCCCCACUGCGGCUCCUGCCCGUGGGGCUGCACAGCCACGGCACAGAAUGAAACCUCCCUCACGAUGAGUGGGAUGUCCUGUCCAGCCUUUGUCUGGUGCCUCAGAGCAAUUUGGAUGUCUUCAAUGUACUGUAUCCCAUUGCCAGCCCUGCAGAGAGGUCACUGCCACACUAGGAUAUUUCAAAUGUCACUGGACACAGUGGAGCAACUGAAUCUCACCUUCUCUAUCAAGAAUCUAUAUAUUUCAUUUUAACAAUACAAAUUGGUGUGAUAUUGUCACUGAGAUAUUCCAUCCUUCACGAAAGUAGUUUCCAAGCUGUUAUUAUGUCUGAUGGAAACCCCUAAGCCAAUCUUUUAAAUUGUUGCUCUUUGUGUUUGGGAUGUUUUUGCAACCCAGAACUGAAACAGCAAGUCCUUAGCAAAUGUGGUCAUUGCUUCAAGAAGAAUUAAAUUGUUAUGAAGCAAUUAAAAGCCUAAAGCAAAACAGCAGUUAUUUGGAAACCAGCUUAAUUUUGGUACUAUUAUGAGAUAUUAUAUUGCGCCUGACAGAAUUUUGAUAUCAUUGCAAUAAACUUCAACUGGAGCUUAUGGGAUGUGACA